UGCAGUCGUACGGUAACAGCCAAGCAGCUUGCUUCUUUGCUGACGAGUGGCGGACGGGUGAGUAAUGUCUGGGAAACUGCCUGAUGGAGGGGGAUAACUACUGGAAACGGUAGCUAAUACCGCAUAACGUCGCAAGACCAAAGAGGGGGACCUUCGGGCCUCUUGCCAUCGGAUGUGCCCAGAUGGGAUUAGCUAGUAGGUGGGGUAACGGCUCACCUAGGCGACGAUCCCUAGCUGGUCUGAGAGGAUGACCAGCCACACUGGAACUGAGACACGGUCCAGACUCCUACGGGAGGCAGCAGUGGGGAAUAUUGCACAAUGGGCGCAAGCCUGAUGCAGCCAUGCCGCGUGUAUGAAGAAGGCCUUCGGGUUGUAAAGUACUUUCAGCGGGGAGGAAGGGAGUAAAGUUAAUACCUUUGCUCAUUGACGUUACCCGCAGAAGAAGCACCGGCUAACUCCGUGCCAGCAGCCGCGGUAAACGGAGGGUGCAAGCGUUAAUCGGAAUUACUGGGCGUAAAGCGCACGCAGGCGGUUUGUUAAGUCAGAUGUGAAAUCCCCGGGCUCAACCUGGGAACUGCAUCUGAUACUGGCAAGCUUGAGUCUCGUAGAGGGGGGUAGAAUUCCAGGUGUAGCGGUGAAAUGCGUAGAGAUCUGGAGGAAUACCGGUGGCGAAGGCGGCCCCCUGGACGAAGACUGACGCUCAGGUGCGAAAGCGUGGGGAGCAAACAGGAUUAGAUACCCUGGUAGUCCACGCCGUAAACGAUGUCGACUUGGAGGUUGUGCCCUUGAGGCGUGGCUUCCGGAGCUAACGCGUUAAGUCGACCGCCUGGGGAGUACGGCCGCAAGGUUAAAACUCAAAUGAAUUGACGGGGGCCCGCACAAGCGGUGGAGCAUGUGGUUUAAUUCGAUGCAACGCGAAGAACCUUACCUGGUCUUGACAUCCACGGAAGUUUUCAGAGAUGAGAAUGUGCCUUCGGGAACCGUGAGACAGGUGCUGCAUGGCUGUCGUCAGCUCGUGUUGUGAAAUGUUGGGUUAAGUCCCGCAACGAGCGCAACCCUUAUCCUUUGUUGCCAGCGGUCCGGCCGGGAACUCAAAGGAGACUGCCAGUGAUAAACUGGAGGAAGGUGGGGAUGACGUCAAGUCAUCAUGGCCCUUACGACCAGGGCUACACACGUGCUACAAUGGCGCAUACAAAGAGAAGCGACCUCGCGAGAGCAAGCGGACCUCAUAAAGUGCGUCGUAGUCCGGAUUGGAGUCUGCAACUCGACUCCAUGAAGUCGGAAUCGCUAGUAAUCGUGGAUCAGAAUGCCACGGUGAAUACGUUCCCGGGCCUUGUACACACCGCCCGUCACACCAUGGGAGUGGGUUGCAAAAGAAGUAGGUAG
Molecule: ribosomal RNA, 1386 nt
Filed under: uncultured bacterium
Lineage: Bacteria
Description: bacterial SSU rRNA
Rfam family: Bacterial small subunit ribosomal RNA
Source: RNAcentral